Molecule: transfer RNA, 71 nt
Filed under: Loxodonta africana (African savanna elephant)
Lineage: Eukaryota; Metazoa; Chordata; Mammalia; Proboscidea; Elephantidae
Rfam family: tRNA
About the family: Transfer RNA (tRNA) molecules are approximately 80 nucleotides in length. Their secondary structure includes four short double-helical elements and three loops (D, anti-codon, and T loops). Further hydrogen bonds mediate the characteristic L-shaped molecular structure. tRNAs have two regions of fundamental functional importance: the anti-codon, which is responsible for specific mRNA codon recognition, and the 3' end, to which the tRNAs corresponding amino acid is attached (by aminoacyl-tRNA synthetases). tRNAs cope with the degeneracy of the genetic code in two manners: having more than one tRNA (with a specific anti-codon) for a particular amino acid; and 'wobble' base-pairing, i.e. permitting non-standard base-pairing at the 3rd anti-codon position.
Source: Rfam by way of RNAcentral
GCAGUAGUGGUUCAGAGGUAGAAUUCUUGCCUUCCAUACAACAGGCCCAAGUUUGAUUCCCGGCCAAUGCA